RNAcentral lists this ribosomal RNA (460 nucleotides) under uncultured bacterium. RNAcentral describes it as "partial 16S ribosomal RNA". It matches the Rfam family "Bacterial small subunit ribosomal RNA", at positions 338 to 795 of the family's 1533-position model. The record is from RNAcentral.
CCUACGGGUCGCAGCAGUGAGGAAUAUUGGUCAAUGGACGAGAGUCUGAACCAGCCAAGUAGCGUGAAGGAUGACUGCCCUAUGGGUUGUAAACUUCUUUUAUAUGGGAAUAAAACGUUCCACGUGUGGGAUUUUGUAUGUACCAUAUGAAUAAGGAUCGGCUAACUCCGUGCCAGCAGCCGCGGUAAUACGGAGGAUCCGAGCGUUAUCCGGAUUUAUUGGGUUUAAAGGGAGCGUAGGUGGAUUGUUAAGUCAGUUGUGAAAGUUUGCGGAUCAACCGUAAAAUUGCAGUUGAAACUGGCAGUCUUGAGUACAGUAGAGGUGGGCGGAAUUCGUGGUGUAGCGGUGAAAUGCUUAGAUAUCACGAAGAACUCCGAUUGCGAAGGCAGUUCACUGGACUGCAACUGACACUGAGGCUCGAAAGUGUGGGUAUCAAACAGGAUUAGAUACCCCGGUAGUC